CACUAUUCAGAAUCUGGACAUAUAAUAUGUUUAUGGCAUUUAACCUAGUCAGACAGUAGAUAUCACUCUAAGUCAUGGCCUACACCUGUGAGCCUACUUAUAUCAGCAUUUGCCAAAUGUACUUGUAGCUGUGGUGCUGACCUCAGAGAACUUAGCCAAAGAGCAAAGACUGCCUAAUUCAAGAAGUACUGAGAAGAUGUUCUAGGAUUACUUCAUGCUGUCCAGGUCCUAGACGUGGAAUCAUUUGCUUCUUCAAAAGUCUGGAUCCCUUUAAGAUACGAAAUGUAUUUAGAAACCAAAGUAUGGAUGCUAGGUGUGCUCAUGGCCAUUGGAGUGUGUUUCUAGACCCAGGAAUAAGCAAACAAUGGCCUGUAAACUA
Molecule: long non-coding RNA, 379 nt
Organism: Pan troglodytes (chimpanzee)
Lineage: Eukaryota; Metazoa; Chordata; Mammalia; Primates; Hominidae
Exons: 2
Source: RefSeq, a predicted model, not a curated record